This 543-nucleotide ribosomal RNA is filed under the name uncultured bacterium. RNAcentral's name for it is "partial 16S ribosomal RNA". It matches the Rfam family "Bacterial small subunit ribosomal RNA", at positions 355 to 887 of the family's 1533-position model. The record is from RNAcentral.
UGGGGAAUAUUGCACAAUGGGCGCAAGCCUGAUGCAGCCAUGCCGCGUGUGUGAAGAAGGCCUUCGGGUUGUAAAGCACUUUCAGCGAGGAGGAAGGUGGUGAGCUUAAUACGCUCAUCAAUUGACGUUACUCGCAGAAGAAGCACCGGCUAACUCCGUGCCAGCAGCCGCGGUAAUACGGAGGGUGCAAGCGUUAAUCGGAAUUACUGGGCGUAAAGCGCACGCAGGCGGUUUGUUAAGUCAGAUGUGAAAUCCCCGGGCUCAACCUGGGAACUGCAUUUGAAACUGGCAAGCUAGAGUCUCGUAGAGGGGGGUAGAAUUCCAGGUGUAGCGGUGAAAUGCGUAGAGAUCUGGAGGAAUACCGGUGGCGAAGGCGGCCCCCCUGGACGAAGACUGACGCUCAGGUGCGAAAGCGUGGGGCAGCAAACAGGAUUAGAUACCCUGGUAGUCCACGCUGUAAAACGAUGUCGAUUUGGAGGUUGUGCCCUUGAGGCGUGGCUUCCGGAGCUAACGCGUUAAAUCGACCGCCUGGGGAGUACGGCC